UACUUCGUAUCUCCGAACAAACUCAGUUGCAUCUUUUCUCAUGGUGGGUCAGUAGUACCCCUAUCAUAGAACUUUAUAGGCUAAUGAUUUACCCCUCAAGUAAUUUAUCGAAGAGCAUAGUCGACUUCAAUAGGUCUCAGGCACUUAAGCAGGGAAAGAGAGAACAAUCUUUUGUUUAAUUGCCCGUUCAUCAACACAUAUUAAGAAGCUGUCCACCUUAGUCGUUUGGCUUUCAAUGAAUCUUCUGGAAGGAUACCAUCAGUUGGGUAUUGAAUGAUCGGAUCUAUCCAACUUGGUUCAUCAUUUAUUUGAUAUACUUCAUUGAUCUUAUCGAUACUUGAUUGUUCGAAAUAUUUGACGAACAUUCAG
Molecule: long non-coding RNA, 369 nt
Filed under: Elaeis guineensis (African oil palm)
Lineage: Eukaryota; Viridiplantae; Streptophyta; Magnoliopsida; Arecales; Arecaceae
Description: long non-coding RNA (EGUI_LNC019622)
Source: RNAcentral